GGGGAAUAUUGGGCAAUGGGCGCAAGCCUGACCCAGCAACGCCGCGUGAAGGAAGAAGGCUUUCGGGUUGUAAACUUCUUUUAUGAGGGACGAAACAAAUGACGGUACCUCAUGAAUAAGCCACGGCUAACUACGUGCCAGCAGCCGCGGUAAUACGUAGGUGGCAAGCGUUAUCCGGAUUUACUGGGUGUAAAGGGCGUGUAGGCGGGAGCGCAAGUCAGAUGUGAAAUUCCAGGGCUCAACCCUGGACCUGCAUUUGAAACUGUGUUUCUUGAGUGAUGGAGAGGCAGGCGGAAUUCCCUGUGUAGCGGUGAAAUGCGUAGAUAUAGGGAGGAACACCAGUGGCGAAGGCGGCCUGCUGGACAUUAACUGACGCUGAGGCGCGAAAGCGUGGGGAGCAAAC
This 403-nucleotide ribosomal RNA is filed under the name uncultured bacterium. RNAcentral's name for it is "bacterial SSU rRNA". It matches the Rfam family "Bacterial small subunit ribosomal RNA", at positions 356 to 773 of the family's 1533-position model. The record is from RNAcentral.